UACGUAGGGGGCGAGCGUUGUCCGGAAUUAUUGGGCGUAAAGAGCGUGUAGGCGGUUCGGUAAGUCUGCCGUGAAAACCUGGGGCUCAACCCUGGGCGUGCGGUGGAUACUGCCGGGCUAGAGGGUGGUAGAGGCGAGUGGAACUCCUGGUGUAGCGGUGGAAUGCGCAGAUAUCAGGAAGAACACCGACGGCGAAGGCAGCUCGCUGGGACGGUACUGACGCUGAGGCGCGAAAGCGUGGGGAGCGAACAGG
Molecule: ribosomal RNA, 253 nt
Filed under: uncultured bacterium
Lineage: Bacteria
Description: partial 16S ribosomal RNA
Rfam family: Bacterial small subunit ribosomal RNA
Source: RNAcentral